RNAcentral lists this ribosomal RNA (254 nucleotides) under uncultured bacterium. RNAcentral's name for it is "partial 16S ribosomal RNA". It matches the Rfam family "Bacterial small subunit ribosomal RNA", at positions 524 to 776 of the family's 1533-position model. The record is from RNAcentral.
GACGAACCGUGCGAACGUUAUUCGGAAUCACUGGGCUUAAAGCGCGUGUAGGCGGGACGGCACGUCUGUCGCUGAAAUCCCCCGGCUCAACCGGGGAACGGGCGCGGAUACGACCGUCCUGGAGGGGCGUAGGGGGACCUGGAACUUCCGGUGGAGCGGUGAAAUGCGUUGAGAUCGGAAGGAACGCCCGUGGCGAAAGCGAGGUCCUGGACGCUUACUGACGCUGAGACGCGAAAGCCGGGGGAGCGAACGGG